Molecule: transfer RNA, 62 nt
Filed under: Sphingomonas sp. YR710
Lineage: Bacteria; Pseudomonadati; Pseudomonadota; Alphaproteobacteria; Sphingomonadales; Sphingomonadaceae
Rfam family: tRNA
About the family: Transfer RNA (tRNA) molecules are approximately 80 nucleotides in length. Their secondary structure includes four short double-helical elements and three loops (D, anti-codon, and T loops).
Source: Rfam by way of RNAcentral
CAGCCCGGUAGCUCGUCAGGCUCAUAACCUGAAGGUCACAGGUUCAAAUCCUGUCCCCGCAA